CCCCUUACGAGGAAGUUGUAGACUGCGAUGCUACCUUGGGAGAUGAAGAUCCAUCUGAAAAAGUCUAUAAAUUUGAAAAAUAACUCUCAUAAAAACUAAUGUGAUUUAUGUAAGCACAUUAAGGGGAAAAUACCCUGAACAGUUGGUUUAAGUGCUUAGACUUCCUAAACUUAAUAUUUCCAUAUGGUUACAUUGUAAUUUUAGAUUUUUAGUGCCUUCUUACCCUUCUCUGUUAAAUUUGAGAAACAAAUCAAGGUACCAGCACAAAGAAAUUAAGAUUAAGGAACAAAAAUGCCUGCAAUGAGUAUUUGAUUGUUCCCACAUGAAGCAAUGGUUCUUUCUACAAAUUUCCUUAAUCCUCUAGGAAACGUUAUUCCAAUUGUCAUAGGAUUGUUUGUGUGAUGUUGUGAACAGAUGAUUAUAAUAGUCUUUUGAUAUAAAUAGAAAGCAGAAAAAUAAAGGGAGAAGUGAGCACCCAACUUUUUUUUUUUUUUUUUUUUUUAAUGCAGGAUUAUAUUAGCUAAGUAAAGAUUAGUUUCAAAAUACCAGACAUGGUUUGAAUUCUUGCUGAAUUAUUUCACGCCUCUAACACUUUCAUAUUUAUCCCACAAGAUUUUCACUUUUGCCUAGUCCUUGGCGGCUUUGCAGUGAACCACCCCUAAACGUGUUUCAUCUGUAGCACCAGAACUGGCGUAUGUUCCAAUUUUUAACUAAAGGUAACAAAAAUCUUAAAAAUGAUUACUUAAGCCACCACAAACUGUUGUGUGAACCUUCUCAAAUUGAUCAAAGCCGACGUUAUAUCAAUUUAACUUAGGUUGAUCCCUAUCGACUAAAACUAAAUGGAUAUAAGUCACUCACGCAACAGCACAGAGGGAUCUGUGUCCAUGUGUCUGUUUGUGGUCUCAGCUCACUGACUAUCAUAUUGUGCAGUAAAAGGUAAGAAAAUGCAAUUCUUUGUGAGGAACGUCCACUCUGCUGUGAUCCAUUCUUGCCUUCCCAGCCCCAAAACACAAAACCAACUAACCAAAAAAAAAAAAAACAAAACAAACAUGGUAUGAGCAUGUGAGGAUGCAACACUGUAAACAGUACAAUCUGUCUUCAUGGUAUGUAUGGGACCAGUUUACAGGUAAAGAUGAAGUUGAUGAGAAAUAGCACAGUAUGUCUAGGCUGCAGCUCAGUUCUCUAGCAUAGCCUGGACAUCUGUGGGGAUGCAAAUGUACGUAAAAAAGAAAAGAAAAAAAAAACUUCUUCAGAAGUGCCACUCAUUUUUCUGAAACUGGCUGCAUGUUCAAGUUCCUACUCAGCCUUGCCUGCUGCCCAGGUGAGCAAGCAACAUGUAAUUAUGUAAAAGAGAUAAUAUUUAUCACGAGAGGUUAAGCAGUGUUAAGUUGUUGGUCAAGAGAAAAGAUUUGCAUUACUCCUUUUCUUCAGACUUAAUAAAACACUACGGAGUGAUGGUUAACACGCUGACAUUUAAAUACACAUGAUUUAAAAUAAAGGGAACAAGCCCAGCUACAUGAAUCCUUUGUCUUUUGUUGCAGAGAUUGUGUAAUUCUUUGGUUGUCUUCUUCAACUGGAAGAGAAAAAAAAAAAUCAAGGAUGGAUUCAUUGCUCUCUGCUGCACAAUUUGACAGAUGUUACUAUUUAUUAAAAAAAAAAAAAAAAAAACAUCUGGCAGCUGUUUGGCUGGACUAAUGGCUGAGCCCAGUGUGAUUAGAUACAGCUGAUGCUAGAAAACCAAGUUGGAUGGAAGGAGCUGAAGUCUGUGAUGCUGCAGGGGAUGUUAAUAUCAGAAAAAAUGGAAAACAGAUAUGGAACAAAAAUAUCAAGAUUAAUAGUUACAUAAUCUAGUUGAUUUUUCCAGGAGGACCCUAAAUAUUAAGGUGUUUUCUCAUUAGUGCCGCGUGUAUGUCAUUAAGAAAGUACAAUCAAUGAAAAAUGCAGGCUGUGGACAACCUGCAUACUGAAAUCCAGCUACAUUUCCCUAACCAAAUUUUCAUCGAACCACACCACUGCAUAGUCCCAGGACUUAAGACCGAGGCAUAUAUAGGAAAAUAUAUAGGAAUUAAAGUCAUGCAUUUGCUUGAGAUGUUUCUACGUCUCAUCUGUGUGAGGUGUAGAGGGAAACGCCAAGGAAAUAAUUCAAAGCUGGAAAAGUGACUUAGCUGGAGAGUCAGAUCCAUCUUGCCUAAAUACAAAGAUCUUUAAUACAGGCAGUGACACGGGAGGUAGUCACCACAGGCUUCUUUUGCUGUUGCUUGAGAGAAAUAGAAAUGCUGUGAGGGACAUUUCUCUAGUCCGUUUUGAACAGCCACUUUAGGAUGAGAGGAACUUCAUUCUGGAAAAACUCAUUUCUCUGUGCUGCCUGCAAAGGGAGGCAUUGGUGAGCAGCGCUCUGUAGCCAUCUGUUGGGAAGAAGUUCACAUCUGGCCAGAGAUAUCCCACCUGAAAAAGCUCAGUGUUCUUAAUUCAUUACAAGAUCACAGUUUUAACUUGAUUAUCGUACCGAGGACCUUCAAAUGAAGACAUUUGUUUCCAGUGGGCAUUGUUGUCCAGCAGAGAUAAAUAAGAAUUAACAGCUGGAGGCUGAAACCACCAGAUACAUCCAGGUGGUGUUUUAUUUAUUUAUUUAUUUUUUUAUUUUUGUACAGUGAUUGAGAAAGCCUGUUGUCACAGAAUAGCAGAAGAAGAGAGCAAUUCUUUGUCUCUUUGAGCCUUUGAUGUCUUUUUAAACACCUGUUCAGACCAAAACUCUUAGCUUGACUUAAUAAGGGCUAACUGGGUAAACUCCUGUGGACUGUGCUGCUCCAGAAAUCAGAUCAGAUGCCUCGUCCAGACCCUUUGGCUGAUCCCUGUCUUAAAUUUAUUUGAAAGGUUGCAUACUGAAAAAAAUCUCUUGCACUCUGCUGGCAAACAAACACACACAAAGAAAACAACAACAACAAAAAUCCAAAACAAACAAACAAAAACAACCAGCCAGCCAGCCAGCCAACAAACAAACAAACAAAAAGAACACAUGAAAAUGUAGCAGGCUCUUUUGUCUACUAAAAAAAAAAAAAAAAAGAGAGAUGUGAUCCUUUUUGACCAUAACUAUACCAUACAUUACUGUGGGAGUGAUGACAAGGAUUUGGUCUGCACAGUUAGGAACAACUUCACAAGCAGAAAGGGACAAGUCUUCUGAGGUUCCACCCCAGGAAACUAUGCCUACUUAGUCACAUCUCCUUUAAGUGACAAAUGAUGAUUUGAGGGACUGAGCAUGUUCAGCCCCCUUCAGCUGGUAUCAGUGUCCAUAACCAUCUAGUUUCUGAGAUAAAGAGAGAUAUUUACCCUGGGCUAUGUGCUUCAGGCUCAGUUCUGAUCUUAGAGGAUUCAGUAUAAUACGUACUGCCUCACGUGGACUGGUGCCAGCCAGCUCCUCUGCCUCCUGUACAGAGCAGAAUUACUGCAGCAGGCAGCUGGGAGACAGAGCAUGAGCUUCACUCAGUCCUGGUGUCUUUAUCCAUGGCGGUUCCUGCUUUGCUCAUUUUUCUUGGUCUAAAACAAGAAAAUAUUUUGACUGAAGCUGCAUCUCUCUUCUCUGAGCCGUGAGAGCAUCCCAUAAGGGUAAUAUCUCAGCUCCUAAUGCAACUGCUCCUUAGGGAGGAGUGGCUGGAGUAUAAGGCAGCUGCAGCAGCAAAAGUGUGUUCAUAUUGGGUAAGUCCUUGAUCCAUGAUGGGUACUGCUAGGAACAAUCUCAGUAUAAGAGAUACAGAUACUGCCCAGUGAUGGCAUUACCUAGGCUUUGAUACAGCACAAAGAAGGGAACAGAAAACAGCAUUUUAAAUGCGACAGGAUGGGUGUAUUUCUGAAGUCAAGAGGGGAAGGAUAUGUCAGUGAGAAGAUCUAUGGAGAUACAAUGGGAAAAAAAAGGGAUUGUAACAGCCUAGCAUUUUUUUCUUAGACAAUUGCUUAUUUUCAGCUUCUUGCUUACGAUCUGCAUUCUUAUGAUGUGUACUUUACACGGGGCUGAUACUUGGAUGGAAAUUUUAAUAAUGUGGAUGGUGGAAAAAAGGAAAGACAAAAUGAGUGUCCUACAAAAGAAAAGAUUAAGGUAGAUCCCUGCCUGACACAGGUCAUCAUAGACCUAUGGAAGUUGCUAAAAAGAUGAUUUAUGCUGAGGAUGUAGCCCCAGUGUCUGAAGUAAUUGACAGAUCAGGUCUCAAUGCUCAGGCACAUGGUGUGGGAGCAGCCUCCACCAGGGAAAAAUGCCCUCCUGGAGUAAUGGUGGAAGAGUGGGGAAAUUGCAAAGGCAUUGCAGCCUUGUAUGAAUUCGUGAAGCUUACUUUGAAGCACAUCCUUUUCUAAUUAGCAGCGGUGAACCUGGAAUGUCAGCCAGUACUGCAGCAGGGUGUUUUUUUUUCCCCCUCAUAUCUUGAUCAAAACUUCUUUUGACUUCUCAAACUGCUCAAAGUACAAUUGAAGGAAGGAUAAAGACAGGAAAGAUAAAAAGUACAUUCAGUGACACAAACUAGCAGUAACGAAGGAAACUGAACAGUAGCUCAUGUUUUGCUUUAAAAACACUACUGCGCCAUACAAGCCAGCCUUAUUUAUUUAUUUUAAAAUGAAAAUCUCUCUUCUGCCAAAAAUGAAGUAUUUAGAAACUACAUUCUGGAACAAUAAAUCUGUGGGAAACUUUAAUGUUGCAUAGAAUGUGCUUGAUUAUGUGAACAUAUUAGUAAUAACAGAUCUCAACAGCACUUCCUAUGAGGAGCAAUUUCCUAUUUGCAGCUUUCUUCAGUCUGGUCAUAACCUCAGUGCUCUCGUAGGAGUAAAUGAGACAUCCCAUCAGAGACCAUCAGAGGUUAGGGAAGGGUCCUGGAAGGCGGCCUUUGCUGGGACCAGCAGAAUCCAUUCCAGGCUGUGUAAUGUCUUCUUACUCUUUUCAGAGCAAUUAAACGGAUGCCACCUGCUAGUGAUGUACAUCCUUAAGCAUAAGCAACAUCAAGACACAUUUCCUUAUAUAAGGAGAUUUAAGUCUGAUUCAUUAAGAUCAGUUGUUUACUCAUACAGAAAACCAUAUUAUAAAAUUUUCCCUGGGAAUGCAUCAAGCCCCAUAUGUAAAUAUCAGCGAGUUUGCUCUCCCUUCUCCAGUAGAGGCUUUAUCUUUUGCAUCAAUUUGUCUUUUUACAUACUGGUUAAUAACACUAUUUUAAUUUACAGCCUGAAUGUAUUCACCUGCAGCUAAUACUCAUUGCUCCUUUAGCUGCUAUGCAUUCCUCACUUCCCUGACAUUUACUUCCCAAUUAAUCGACAGCAAUCGGAUUCUCCCUCAGCUUUCAUUUUGCUAGGCUGAGCAAAUCUCAUUUGCCCAUUUCACGGCUUCAUCCGGCUGGCGGCUUAGAGUCCUCUUGUAUACCAGAAUCUUCCCCCUCCUUAAUUGGAAGCAAACAAAGAGCUUCUAUCUCAAGGCAGAUGUUUUUCUUCAUUCCUAAGGGCGUGUUUCACUUCACUUCACUUGGUCUAAACGGCAUAUUGUCAGCUUCCUCAGAUUUGCUCCUUUCCAGCCAUGAAGCAACCCCCAACCUAGAUAAGCCUUCCUACAUGCCCAAGAGCCGUGCAUUGGCUGGCUAACUCCUCUUUCUCAACAGUGGGCUUUUUCUUUAGCUUACCUUGGAUGACAAGACCCUCUCCAGUUGCAUGAAGAUGUGCUGUGCAGCCAUUUUUCUGAGCCCUGACUGCAAGCCCUGGAUCAGCUGGGAGCUGAAGUAACAUCUCAGAUACUCUGCUCGAUGUGGAUUUCCAGCCCUGUGGGUUAAUGGGACUACUACCCCAGCACAAUGCUCACCUGCCUUCCCUGGAGCAAUCCUGUCCACACCAUUUAGCCCUGCUCAGCUUGUCCCACCAGAUGUAAUGGAUUGUGCAAUGUUAUUUCAACCUUUACACCUGGCAAGAAAAAAAAAAAAUCUUUUCUAUUCUGUGCAGCUUACGAUACUGCAUUUCUGCCAUUGAACAUAAAUGUCAUUCCCCAGUAAAUUAAGCUGUGACUAA
Molecule: long non-coding RNA, 6027 nt
Organism: Anas platyrhynchos (mallard)
Lineage: Eukaryota; Metazoa; Chordata; Aves; Anseriformes; Anatidae
Source: RefSeq, a predicted model, not a curated record